GAUGAACGCUGGCGGCGUGCCUAAUACAUGCAAGUCGAGCGAACAGAUGAGGAGCUUGCUCCUCUGACGUUAGCGGCGGACGGGUGAGUAACACGUGGAUAACCUACCUAUAAGACUGGGAUAACUUCGGGAAACCGGAGCUAAUACCGGAUAAUAUAUUGAACCGCAGGGUUCAAUAGUUAAAGAGGGUUUUGCUGUCACUUAUAGAUGGAGCUGCGCCGGAUUAGCUAGUUGGUAAGGUAACGGCUUACCAAGGCAACGAUGCGUAGCCGACCUGAGAGGGUGAUCGGCCACACUGGAACUGAGACACGGUCCAGACUCCUACGGGAGGCAGCAGUAGGGAAUCUUCCGCAAUGGGCGAAAGCCUGACGGAGCCACGCCGCGUGAGUGAUGAAGGUCUUCGGAUCGUAAAACUCUGUUAUUAGGGAAGAACAAAUGUGUAAGUAACUCUGCACGUCUUGACGGUACCUAAUCAGAAAGCCACGGCUAACUACGUG
This 497-nucleotide ribosomal RNA is filed under the name uncultured bacterium. RNAcentral describes it as "partial 16S ribosomal RNA". It matches the Rfam family "Bacterial small subunit ribosomal RNA", at positions 28 to 507 of the family's 1533-position model. The record is from RNAcentral.